Molecule: ribosomal RNA, 468 nt
Filed under: uncultured bacterium
Lineage: Bacteria
Description: partial 16S ribosomal RNA
Rfam family: Bacterial small subunit ribosomal RNA
Source: RNAcentral
GACGAACGCUGGCGGCGUGCUUAACACAUGCAAGUCGAACGGAAAGGCCCUGCUUUUGUGGGGUGCUCGAGUGGCGAACGGGUGAGUAACACGUGAGUAACCUGCCCUUGACUUUGGGAUAACUUCAGGAAACUGGGGCUCAUACCGGAUAGGAGCUCCUGCUGCAUGUUGGGGGUUGGAAAGUUUCGGCGGUUGGGGAUGGACUCGCGGCUUAUCAGCUUGUUGGUGGGGUAGUGGCUUACCAAGGCUUUGACGGGUAGCCGGCCUGAGAGGGUGACCGGCCACAUGGGGACUGAGAUACGGCCCAGACUCCUACGGGAGGCAGCAGUGGGGAAUAUUGCACAAUGGGCGGAAGCCUGAUGCAGCAACGCCGCGUGCGGGAUGACGGCCUUCGGGUUGUAAACCGCUUUCGCCUGUGACGAAGCGUGAGUGACGGUAAUGGGUAAAGAAGCACCGGCUAACUACGUG